ACGGGGUGCAGCAGGCGCGAAAACUCCACAAUGCGCGAAUGCGUGAUGGGGUUAACCCGAGUGCCGUCCGAUGAGGAUGGCUUUUCUUCAGUCUAAGGAUCUGGAGGAAUAAAGGGGGGGCAAGACUGGUGUCAGCCGCCGCGGUAAUACCAGCCCCCUGAGUGGUAGGGACGAUUAUUUGGCCUAAAGCGUCCGUAGCCGGCUUAGCAAGUCUUUCGUCAAAUCCAACGAUUCAAUCGUUGGGUCGCGGAAGAUACUGUUAGGCUUGAGGACGGGAGAGGUCGACGGUAGUCCCAGGGUAGGGGUGAAAUCCUAUAAUCCUGGGAGGACCACCAGUGGCGAAGGCGGUCGACUAGAACGUGCCUGACGGUGAUGGACGAAAGCUGGGGGAGCGAACCGGAUUAGACACCCGGGUAGUCCCAGCUGUAAACGAUGCGAGCUAGGUGUUGGAGCAACUACGGGUUGCUCCAGUGCCGCAGAGAAGUUGUUAAGCUCGCCGCCUGGGAAGUACGGCCGCAAGGCUGAAACUUAAAGGAAUUGGCGGGGGAGCAC
Molecule: ribosomal RNA, 552 nt
Filed under: uncultured archaeon
Lineage: Archaea
Description: bacterial SSU rRNA
Rfam family: Archaeal small subunit ribosomal RNA
Source: RNAcentral